This 1083-nucleotide long non-coding RNA is filed under the name Elaeis guineensis (African oil palm). RNAcentral describes it as "long non-coding RNA (EGUI_LNC002550)". The record is from RNAcentral. Lineage: Eukaryota; Viridiplantae; Streptophyta; Magnoliopsida; Arecales; Arecaceae.
GUAUAUGUUAAGGCUUGCAAACUAUUAAUCUUUAGAAGCGAGAUUCUUGGACACUGUGCACUGGAAGCCAUCCAUGAAAGCUACAAAACUUGAUAAUCAGCAUGCUCAAACUAUUUGAGUAUCUAUACUUGCAUUAGAAAGUAGCAUGGAAUCAUACAGUCAUGCCUUCCCGAUUACCAUGAAACAGGCAACAGAUUUAUUUCCCCCUUUUCCCAAGCAUGCAACCUAAUGCUCUUAAGUCCGCCUACAGAUAAGAAGAAAUGUUGUUCUCAUUUAUGUAUUUUGCAGUGAAUCUCAGACAGAAGGACAGCUAGCAUCUUUUCAAACACAACCAUGCUGCUGACCUCCUUGCUUUCAGUACUGCUGCAAACAAGCCAAGUACCAGGCUGCUCAGACUCAGCUUGGCAUUUUAAAGGGCUGAUUGAGCUCAAGCUCGAGCCAAGCUUAACACAAGCUCUUCAGGCUUGGCUCAUAUAGGCUUUAAGCCAAGCUUCUUCUUCUUCUUCUUCUUCUUUCUUUUUUUUUAAAUAUCAAGCCAAGGCGAGCUCUUCCUUUCUUAUUUUCAAGUCAAUUAUGUUCAGGUUCAGCUCAUUUAUGAGUUGAGCUCUGAAACAUGUUCAAACUCAGCUUGUUUUCUAAUUGAGCUGGGCUCAAACCAGACGCUACUGGAACCAAACUCAUGAGCAGUUCAGAUAGUUUGCAGCCCUGUCUUUGAGAAAAACAAAGGGCUGAAGAGUACACCAACAAUUUGUGGCUUGUUUACAAACCAAGCUCUUUUAAUUGCCUCUCCAAAAAUAAACAUCAACUUCAACACAUGGUAUCACAACAGUCAGCAUUGAAACAAAAGUUCUCUGUGUAUACAAAACUACCAGCCGCUCCCUCAUUCUGUUGGGGAAACCAAAAAGCCCCAAACCAGAAACAAAGUUGCAAAAAACAGACAUCUAUCACUGCACUGGGAAGAUGGAACACACAAGGAGUAAUAGACACAACCUCUAAAAUGAUUGCUUGCCUUGAAACAUUACAUCAUUAUCAAAUAAAAUUUGGCUCGAAACCUAUUUAGUGCAAAUAAGGAUGUAGAAGACG